Abortiporus biennis is the source of this 85-nucleotide non-coding RNA. NCBI's taxonomy places the organism in Eukaryota, Fungi, Basidiomycota, Agaricomycetes, Polyporales, Podoscyphaceae. The record is from the annotation of a GenBank genome assembly.
GGGUCGGUGGCGUAGUUGGUUAUCGCAUCUGUCUUACAUAAUGUGUGUUCACAGAAGGUCCCCAGUUCGAGCCUGGGUCGACUCA